Molecule: ribosomal RNA, 405 nt
Filed under: uncultured bacterium
Lineage: Bacteria
Description: bacterial SSU rRNA
Rfam family: Bacterial small subunit ribosomal RNA
Source: RNAcentral
UGAGGAAUAUUGCACAAUGGGCGAAAGCCUGAUGCAGCAACGCCGCGUGAGGGACGAAGGCCUUCGGGUUGUAAGCCUCUUUUCUGGGGGACGAGUAAGGACGGUACUCCAGGAAUAAGUCUCGGCUAACUACGUGCCAGCAGCCGCGGUAAAACGUAGUAGGCGAGCGUUAUCCGGAUUUACUGGGCGUAAAGCGUACGCAGGUGGCUUCGUUAGUCGGACAUGAAAGCUCCUGGCUUAACUGGGAGAGGUUGUUCGAUACUGCGGGGCUUGAGGUUGGGAGAGGGACGUGGAAUUCCCGGUGUAGUGGUGGAAUGCGUAGAUAUCGGGAGGAACACCAGUGGCGCAAGCGGCGUCCUGGCCCACACCUGACGCUGAGGUACGAAAGCGUGGGUAGCAAACAGG